AGUGAACGCUGGCGGUAGGCCUAACACAUGCAAGUCGAACGGCAGCACAGUAAGAGCUUGCUCUUACGGGUGGCGAGUGGCGGACGGGUGAGGAAUACAUCGGAAUCUACUUUUUCGUGGGGGAUAACGUAGGGAAACUUACGCUAAUACCGCAUACGACCUACGGGUGAAAGCAGGGGAUCUUCGGACCUUGCGCGAUUGAAUGAGCCGAUGUCGGAUUAGCUAGUUGGCGGGGUAAAGGCCCACCAAGGCGACGAUCCGUAGCUGGUCUGAGAGGAUGAUCAGCCACACUGGAACUGAGACACGGUCCAGACGCCUACGGGAGGCAGCAGUGGGGAAUAUUGGACAAUGGGCGCAAGCCUGAUCCAGCCAGCCCGCGUGGGUGAAGAAGGCCUUCGGGUUGUAAAGCCCUUUUGUUGGGAAAGAAAAGCAUCAGGUUAAUACCCCGCUGUUCUGACGGUACCCAAAGAAUAAGCACCGGCUAACUUCGUG
RNAcentral lists this ribosomal RNA (492 nucleotides) under uncultured bacterium. RNAcentral describes it as "partial 16S ribosomal RNA". It matches the Rfam family "Bacterial small subunit ribosomal RNA", at positions 29 to 507 of the family's 1533-position model. The record is from RNAcentral.